Molecule: long non-coding RNA, 940 nt
Filed under: Calidris pugnax (ruff)
Lineage: Eukaryota; Metazoa; Chordata; Aves; Charadriiformes; Scolopacidae
Description: lncRNA (ENSCPUG00000013376.1)
Source: RNAcentral
AAGGAGCAGGCGUUCGCAAACUGCGCGUGUGUGUGCGUGUCCAGGCUUAUAUGUGCGUGCACAUCUAUAUUUAUAUAUAUAUAUAUAUAGAAUAUUUUUAUAUAUCUCGAUACGCGCACAUACACAGCCGCGUGGAUAGGUGCGCUGCCUUCCCCUCCGCACCUCUUUCCGCGGGGUCGGGAGGGGGUUGAAAAGCGGUUCCCCCGGGGAGGGGACACCUCAGGGGACACUGGGAUUCAGGGGGAGGCUUUGAUUUCUCAUUUUGAUUUUGAUUUUUUCUGCCUCGGGCAGGAAGGUCCUAUCCUGGUGCGGCCGCGCAGGAGAAGGCGUUGUGCACCAUCAUCAUCCUCCCUGGAGGUUUUUCUCCCCUUUACCCGCCUCAACCCGCUUAUUUGGCGGGGGGGACGGGGACGACACCCCGAGCUGAGGAGGGCGGCCGGCUCCAGCGCUGCACUGGGGCAAACUGGAGCAAGCAUUUUUAUUUUAUUUUAAUUUAUUUAUUUUUUUUUCCUGGUGCUUUUCGCUAAGGGCCUGGCUUCCCCUGGGUGUCUCCAGAGCUUGGUGAUGCUGGAGAGAGCUCAGCCUGGGGAAACUGGGUAAAUUUUGCAAGAUUUGGCCGGCAGGGAGGGGAAGGCUGCCUGCAGCCCCCCCCUGGGCCGGAGCAGGGCUUGUUGGGGGGCGGGGGGGGGUCCCUGCCUGGGAACACUCACCCUCUGCAGUGUCCAGCUCCUGCAGGAACUUCUCUCUCUUCCUUAGGUGUUGCUCUUUAUUUUCUCUCUCCCUAUUUCUCCUCCUCCUCUUCCUCCUCCUCCUCCUCUCUUUUUCUGUUGGAGGAAACAACGUUUUAGCAUCUUUUUUUUUUUUUUUUGAGGCUAUUCCUAGAGAAGGUAUCACGGCUAUUAAUAUUUGUUACCCUUAUUCGUUAACCUCUGGGAUGAAC